GUGUUCGCUUCAAAGGCACAUAUACCAAAAUUGUAAUGAGAUGGAGAAGGUUAGCGUGGCUCUUGUUCAAGAAUGACAUACAAAUUGGUGAAGAGUUUCAUAUUUUU
Small nuclear RNA from Ochotona princeps (American pika), 107 nucleotides. The record is from Ensembl. Lineage: Eukaryota; Metazoa; Chordata; Mammalia; Lagomorpha; Ochotonidae.